RNAcentral lists this ribosomal RNA (468 nucleotides) under uncultured bacterium. RNAcentral describes it as "partial 16S ribosomal RNA". It matches the Rfam family "Bacterial small subunit ribosomal RNA", at positions 28 to 507 of the family's 1533-position model. The record is from RNAcentral.
GACGAACGCUGGCGGCGUGCUUAACACAUGCAAGUCGAACGGAAAGGCCCUGCUUUUGUGGGGUGCUCGAGUGGCGAACGGGUGAGUAACACGUGAGUAACCUGCCCUUGACUUUGGGAUAACUUCAGGAAACUGGGGCUAAUACCGGAUAGGAGCUCCUGCUGCAUGGUGGGGGUUGGAAAGUUUCGGCGGUUGGGGAUGGACUCGCGGCUUAUCAGCUUGUUGGUGGGGUAGUGGCUUACCAAGGCUUUGACGGGUAGCCGGCCUGAGAGGGUGACCGGCCACAUUGGGACUGAGGUACGGCCCAGACUCCUACGGGAGGCAGCGGUGGGGAGUAUUGCACAAUGGGCGGGCGCCUGAUGCAGCAACGCCGCGUGCGGGAUGACGGCCUUCGGGUUGUGAACCGAUUUCGCCUGUGACGAAGCGUGAGUGACGGUAAUGGGUAAAGAAGCACCGGCUAACUACGUG